RNAcentral lists this ribosomal RNA (460 nucleotides) under uncultured bacterium. Its description in RNAcentral is "partial 16S ribosomal RNA". It matches the Rfam family "Bacterial small subunit ribosomal RNA", at positions 338 to 795 of the family's 1533-position model. The record is from RNAcentral.
CCUACGGGUGGCUGCAGUGAGGAAUAUUGGUCAAUGGACGAGAGUCUGAACCAGCCAAGUAGCGUGAAGGAUGACUGCCCUAUGGGUUGUAAACUUCUUUUAUAUGGGAAUAAAACGUUCCACGUGUGGGAUUUUGUAUGUACCAUAUGAAUAAGGAUCGGCUAACUCCGUGCCAGCAGCCGCGGUAAUACGGAGGAUCCGAGCGUUAUCCGGAUUUAUUGGGUUUAAAGGGAGCGUAGGUGGAUUGUUAAGUCAGUUGUGAAAGUUUGCGGCUCAACCGUAAAAUUGCAGUUGAAACUGGCAGUCUUGAGUACAGUAGAGGUGUGCGGAAUUCGUGGUGUAGCGGUGAACUGCUUAGAUAUCACGAAGAACUCCGAUUGCGAAGGCAGUUCACUGGACUGCAACUGAAACUGAGGCUCGAAAGUGUGGGUAUCAAACAGGAUUAGAUACCCCUGUAGUC